Molecule: ribosomal RNA, 168 nt
Filed under: uncultured Streptococcus sp.
Lineage: Bacteria; Bacillati; Bacillota; Bacilli; Lactobacillales; Streptococcaceae
Description: partial 16S ribosomal RNA
Rfam family: Bacterial small subunit ribosomal RNA
Source: RNAcentral
UACACACGUGCUACAAUGGUUGGUACAACGAGUUGCGAGUCGGUGACGGCGAGCUAAUCUCUUAAAGCUAAUCUCAGUUCGGAUUGUAGGCUGCAACUCGCCUACAUGAAGUCGGAAUCGCUAGUAAUCGCGGAUCAGCACGCCGCGGUGAAUACGUUCCCGGGCCUU